CGUGCUUAACACAUGCAAGUCGAACGGUGAACACGGAGCUUGCUCUGUGGGAUCAGUGGCGAACGGGUGAGUAACACGUGAGCAACCUGCCCCUGACUCUGGGAUAAGCGCUGGAAACGGCGUCUAAUACUGGAUAUGUGACGUGACCGCAUGGUCUGCGUCUGGAAAGAUUUUUCGGUUGGGGAUGGGCUCGCGGCCUAUCAGCUUGUUGGUGAGGUAAUGGCUCACCAAGGCGUCGACGGGUAGCCGGCCUGAGAGGGUGACCGGCCACACUGGGACUGAGACACGGCCCAGACUCUACGGGAGGCAGCAGUGGGGAAUAUUGCACAAUGGGCGCAAGCCUGAUGCAGCAACGCCGCGUGAGGGAUGACGGCCUUCGGGUUGUAAACCUCUUUUAGCAGGGAAGAAGCGAAAGUGACGGUACCUGCAGAAAAAGCGCCGGCUAACUACGUGCCAGCAGCCGCGGUAAUACGUAGGGCGCAAGCGUUAUCCGGAAUUAUUGGGCGUAAAGAGCUCGUAGGCGGUUUGUCGCGUCUGCUGUGAAAUCCGGAGGCUCAACCUCCGGCCUGCAGUGGGUACGGGCAGACUAGAGUGCGGUAGGGGAGAUUGGAAUUCCUGGUGUAGCGGUGGAAUGCGCAGAUAUCAGGAGGAACACCGAUGGCGAAGGCAGAUCUCUGGGCCGUAACUGACGCUGAGGCGCGAAAAGGUGGGGAGCAAACAGGCUUAGAUACCCUGGUAGUCCACCCCGUAAACGUUGGGAACUAGUUGUGGGGUCCAUUCCACGGAUUCCGUGACGCACGUAACGCAUUAAGUUCCCCGCCUGGGGAGUACGGCCGCAAGGCUAAAACUCAAAGGAAUUGACGGGGACCCGCACAAGCGGCGGAGCAUGCGGAUUAAUUCGAUGCAACGCGAAGAACCUUACCAAGGCUUGACAUACACGAGAACGGGCCAGAAAUGGUCAACUCUUUGGACACUCGUAAACAGGUGGUGCAUGGUUGUCGUCAGCUCGUGUCGUGAGAUGUUGGGUUAAGUCCCGCAACGAGCGCAACCCUCGUUCUAUGUUGCCAGCACGUAAUGGUGGGAACUCAUGGGAUACUGCCGGGGUCAACUC
Molecule: ribosomal RNA, 1111 nt
Filed under: Microbacterium luteolum
Lineage: Bacteria; Bacillati; Actinomycetota; Actinomycetes; Micrococcales; Microbacteriaceae
Description: bacterial SSU rRNA
Rfam family: Bacterial small subunit ribosomal RNA
Source: RNAcentral